RNAcentral lists this ribosomal RNA (301 nucleotides) under uncultured bacterium. RNAcentral describes it as "partial 16S ribosomal RNA". It matches the Rfam family "Bacterial small subunit ribosomal RNA", at positions 509 to 807 of the family's 1533-position model. The record is from RNAcentral.
CAGUCGCCGCGGGAAUACGUAGGGUGCAAGCGUUAAUCGGAAUUACUGGGCGUAAAGCGUGCGCAGGCGGUUAUAUAAGUCAGAUGUGAAAUCCCCGGGCUCAACCUGGGAACUGCAUUUGAGACUGUAUGGCUAGAGUGUGUCAGAGGGGGGUAGAAUUCCACGUGUAGCAGUGAAAUGCGUAGAUAUGUGGAGGAAUACCGAUGGCGAAGGCAGCCCCCUGGGAUAACACUGACGCUCAUGCACGAAAGCGUGGGGAGCAAACAGGAUUAGAUACCCGCGUAGUCCCUGUCUCUUAUAC